This 694-nucleotide ribosomal RNA is filed under the name Vibrio parahaemolyticus. Its description in RNAcentral is "partial 23S ribosomal RNA". It matches the Rfam family "Bacterial large subunit ribosomal RNA", at positions 2238 to 2925 of the family's 2925-position model. The record is from RNAcentral. Lineage: Bacteria; Pseudomonadati; Pseudomonadota; Gammaproteobacteria; Vibrionales; Vibrionaceae.
AUCGGGGUUGCGGACAGUGCCUGGUGGGUAGUUUGACUGGGGCGGUCUCCUCCCAAAGAGUAACGGAGGAGCACGAAGGUGGGCUAAUCACGGUUGGACAUCGUGAGGUUAGUGCAAUGGCAUAAGCCCGCUUGACUGCGAGAAUGACAAUUCGAGCAGGUGCGAAAGCAGGUCAUAGUGAUCCGGUGGUUCUGAAUGGAAGGGCCAUCGCUCAACGGAUAAAAGGUACUCCGGGGAUAACAGGCUGAUACCGCCCAAGAGUUCAUAUCGACGGCGGUGUUUGGCACCUCGAUGUCGGCUCAUCACAUCCUGGGGCUGAAGUCGGUCCCAAGGGUAUGGCUGUUCGCCAUUUAAAGUGGUACGCGAGCUGGGUUUAGAACGUCGUGAGACAGUUCGGUCCCUAUCUGCCGUGGGCGUUGGAAGAUUGAAGGGGGCUGCUCCUAGUACGAGAGGACCGGAGUGGACGAACCUCUGGUGUUCGGGUUGUGUCGCCAGACGCAUUGCCCGGUAGCUAAGUUCGGAAUCGAUAACCGCUGAAAGCAUCUAAGCGGGAAGCGAGCCCUGAGAUGAGUCUUCCCUGAUACUUUAAGUAUCCUAAAGGGUUGUCGGAGACUACGACGUUGAUAGGUCAGGUGUGUAAGUGCUGUGAGGCAUUGAGCUAACUGAUACUAAUUGCCCGUGAGGCUUAACCAUA